GAGUCGUAACAAGGUUACCGUAGGUGAACCUGCGGUAGGAUCAUUCUUGUAAAGAUCUGGCAACGUUUCGUUUUUGAAGGUGAUUCCGAUACUCCAACGUUGUCAACUUGUAAAUUAACACUGUGAACUUUAAAAAAUAAAACAUGUGAUCACGUAGGAUGGGUGACGAACCUAGCAAUAGACGAGUUGCCCAUCCAUAAGCUGGCCCUAGGGGCUAUUAACCAACCAUAUUCAUACAUUGCCUUAGAACAAUAGAAUUAAAUAUAACCUUUAACAAUGGAUCUCUUGGCUCCU
RNAcentral lists this unclassified non-coding RNA (294 nucleotides) under fungal sp. RNAcentral describes it as "partial internal transcribed spacer region". The stretch from base 1 to 46 matches the Rfam family "Eukaryotic small subunit ribosomal RNA", at positions 1786 to 1831 of the family's 1831-position model. Lineage: Eukaryota; Fungi. The record is from RNAcentral.